This is a small nucleolar RNA of Elgaria multicarinata webbii, 136 nucleotides long. RefSeq annotates it as small nucleolar RNA SNORA55. NCBI's taxonomy places the organism in Eukaryota, Metazoa, Chordata, Lepidosauria, Squamata, Anguidae. The transcript has a single exon. The record is from RefSeq and is a predicted model, not a curated record.
GCACUUGAAUCUUUCCCAUGCCUUGCAGAAUAAGUGUGGGCCUGGGGACAUGUGGUGCUAAAGCAAAGCAGAGGAAAUCCAGACAAGUCACCUUUCUUCCUUGUUGAGGGCUUGUCCCUACACCUUUGCAACAUUG